RNAcentral lists this ribosomal RNA (490 nucleotides) under uncultured bacterium. Its description in RNAcentral is "partial 16S ribosomal RNA". It matches the Rfam family "Bacterial small subunit ribosomal RNA", at positions 29 to 507 of the family's 1533-position model. The record is from RNAcentral.
AAUGAACGCUGGCGGCAUGCCUUACACAUGCAAGUCGAACGGCAGCAUGACCUAGCUUGCUAGGGUGAUGGCGAGUGGCGAACGGGUGAGUAAUGCAUCGGAACGUGCCUUUUAGUGGGGGAUAACGUAGCGAAAGGUACGCUACUACCGCAUAUUCUCUGAGGCGGAAAGGAGGGGACCUUCGGGCCUUGCGCUAGAAGAGCGGCCGAUGUCGUCAUCGCUAGUUGGGGGGGUAAAGUCUCACCAAGGCAACGAUCCGUAGCGGGUCUGAGAGGAUGGUGCGCCGCACUGGGACUGGGCCACGGCCCAGACUCCUGCGGGAGGCAGCAGUGGGGAAUUUUGGACAAUGGGCGCGAGCCUGAUCCAGCCAUGCCGCGUGAGUGACGAAGGCCUUCGGGUUGUAAAGCUCUUUCGGCUGGGAAGAAAUCGCACCCUCUAAUACAGGGUGUGGAUGACGGUACCAGCAUAAGAAGCACCGGCUAACUACGUG